UUUUAAUCUCGUUACUUUGUUUUCCUCACCCAGCUCUUCUUACCAGCCUUCGUACAAAGCAUUAAAAUGAAAAUAUUUAAGCCGAAUUUGUCCAGGAGGUUUCACUGAGUAUGUAGAGUAUCCUGCUCACAGACUUGCUGUGUGGUGUUUAUUCCCUGGCACUUCUCUGGCAGGUUUCUCUGAACCUUAACAUCUAGAACCCAUGACCUGAAGUGCUGAGAGCUCUCCCCCUUCACCUGUAGGUAAACCGUUUGAUUUCUGCUCCCAUUGUCUUCCCAUAAAAGGGAGUUUGGGAGGGUGAUUUCCCAGGAAAUUUCUAGUGGUUUUAAGAUCAAAAACUAGUUUUGAUGCCGUAUCUCGUUUCUUCCAGCUGUUUUGAGUUCUGUUUUUGGAUUGCUGCUGCUGCUGCUAAGUCACUUCAGUCAUGUCCGACUCUGUGCAACCCCAUAGACGUCAGCCCACCAGGCUCCCCCAUCCUUGGGAUUCUCCAGAGUGAAGACGGUGUGCAGAGUGAAGGUACAGGCAGAAACGCUUCACAGUUCGUGUAUUCCAAGAACAGAGAUGCUCCGCCAGCUCACUCUUCAACCUUGUUCCCAGCAGCUGCCAGUGCUGCAUAUAGAGAGGACACAGGGCUCCAGGGAGGUGGAGGGGCUUGCCUGAGAUCAUAAUGCAAGUUAUUAAUGGAAGCUAGUAGAAAAUUAAUGUAAGACAUGCUGGAGCAAAACAGGAGCAAAAAGCACUGAAGCUUGCAGAGGCCACUUCCACCUAGUGAAGUCCCCGCAUGCAAGAUUGCCACCCAGAAACAGAGAGAGCCAUGGGGCGCUCUACUUGGGCAUCCUGAAAUAAUCCCA
Molecule: long non-coding RNA, 851 nt
Organism: Bos taurus (domestic cattle)
Lineage: Eukaryota; Metazoa; Chordata; Mammalia; Artiodactyla; Bovidae
Source: Ensembl